RNAcentral lists this non-coding RNA (120 nucleotides) under human gut metagenome. RNAcentral describes it as "Moco (molybdenum cofactor) riboswitch". It matches the Rfam family "Molybdenum/Tungsten riboswitch aptamer (Moco RNA motif)", at positions 8 to 125 of the family's 135-position model. The record is from RNAcentral.
AAUGACUUCGAGCCCUCACUCCUAAAGGAAACCAUGGAGUCCGGGCCGUGCCUGAAUUCAGGCUCAGGGUUAUACCGGAAACGGUAUGGCCUUCCAUAAUCGAAAAGGAGACAAAAAAAU